GAGACUGGCUGAGUCUUCUGGUCUUCAUCUUUCUCCCAUGCUGGAUGCUUCCUGCCCUUGAACAUUGGACUGCAAGUUCUUUAGCUUUUGGACGUUUGGACUUACACCAGUGGUUUGCCAGGGGCUCUCAGACCUUCUGCCACAGACUGAAGGCUGCACUUUCAGCUUCCCUACUUUUGAGGUUUUGGAACUCGGACUGGCUUUCUUGCUCCGCAGCUUGCAGGUGGCCUGUUAUGGGACUUUACCUUGUGGAUCAUGUGAGUCAGUACUCCUUAAACUCCCUUUCAUAUAUCCAUCUAUCCUAUUCAUCCUGUCUCUGUAGACAACCCUGACUAAUACAAGCAGAACUGAGAACCCUCUCUUGGGAUCUGGAUCAGGACCCCUUUCUGGUAACAUCUUCCUGGCAAACCCCAAAGGGAUGAUACUGAGGAGACUUCUGACCCAAAGGAAAUGGACUGGAGCACCAAUUGGCUAACUUUGGCUUGGCCCCCAGUGCUAUGGUGCACUGAGCUGGGUUACUAGGGCCACUUAGGAAAAGGGAACCCAGAAGCCUAGCAUGCGGCAAAAGGAAUCAAGAAAAACUUUUUUUUAAGCUACUUGUAGCUUUUCACAAUUGAGUAAGGUAUACUCCUGUAAACAAAAUUUGGAGCACAUUCGUCUCUCUCUACCUGAUUUCUCCAGAAUUUGAAAACUAGUUGACAACUUUGUGCCCUGUCUUCCAGUUUAACAUGGAGCUUUCAGUCUGUAAUGCAGAGGAUCCUCUAGGGUAUAACUCCACAAGGCAGAAGACAAGUUUACUGUGGACAAAAAAAUGGGCUAGAAUGUCUUCAGCUUCUCAGGCCCUUAAUAGGGCUGAUGAUGGAUGACUCUACUGGAGAAAAGGAAGACAAAGAGGUUUCAGAUCAUCAAUAAAGCAGCUGACUCUCAAGAAAUGGCUGGAAAUCAUAUUUAAAGUCGAUCUUAAAUGAAUUUGAAAAAAAUGCACAUAAAGAUCGUUACCUGCCUCGUUUGGACAUAUCAGACCUAUGAAUAUUUAUGUAGAAACAAGAGCUUAUAAUUAUCACAAAAAGAAAAUGAACACUACUUUUCCCAUUUAGAAAAAUAUGAAAGGCAAAUUUUAAAUGAAAACUCUCUUGGGACAUUUGAUAUGUCAUGAACUAUCAAGACCAUGACUAUUUUUUAAUAGCUUUUGAAAUCUUUCUCGAAAAUGUCUCUCUUCUUUUCUCCAUUCUUAUUUAUUCCUUAGUUUUGACUUUAAUAUAUUUAUUAUUCUCAGUUGCUUCUGUAAGCCUUAACUUUUAUCAAAUUUGUAAAAUAGCAGAGAAUAGAAUUUUGAUGUCAUUCAAAUGCCUCACCUAGUACUAUGCACAUAGUAAACACACAACUAAUACAACUGCACUUGGAUUCAAAGAUCCUUCAAUGGUGGAGAAUAGAAAAGCUAUAGGGCAGGAUUUCUAGUCUGCACAGAGCUGAGCACAGAGGAGCAGUGCUGUGUCAAGGGCAAGACUCUCACAAGUGGCUGGAGCAAACAGAGAGGAAAGACUCUUCCCCUAGAACCUAAGUAGCCAGUUAUUCAGGCCCAAAGGACCCCUCUGUUGCUAAAUCAGGGAUCAAGCCUUAAAUAGGUUAAUUUUUUCCUUAUGUGAACAUACAAGGGUAAGCAGACUUACCAUUCUCAUCAAAAGGAGAUGGAAAAGGGACAUAGAGGUCUGACAUCUGCAUAAGCUACCUAGCUACCUGCAAUCUAGCUGGUACAACAGCUAUCUUUAAUUUUUAGUAAGGGAGCUCAAGUAAGUUGCCCUAGAUGAAAAAACCAGUAAGGAGAAAGCUUAAAUAACUUGCCCAAGAUGACACAGCUAGCACAGGGCAGUGCUUGAGUAACUUCCCGAGGUUACACAGGUAGUGAGAGGUGGAAUUGCUAGGUUGUUCAGCACCACACUUUUCUCCCCUCUACCUCAAUGGUUCCUGGCUCUGUGUGGGUGUCUCCUAGCAGAUAAAAUGGCCCUCUUCCAUUUACAUUUGUCUUAUCCUUAUAUCUUCAAAAUGGUUCGUAAGACAAAAAGAGCCUGCCCUUGAUAGACUGCCUCCCACUGCAGCAAGUCUAGCACUGAGCAGCCCUAAGACUAGAAUGCCAACUUCGUAGAGGGAGGAUAGAUAGGAAAGGCUCCUGAGACCUGGGGCCUGGGAGAAGGAAGUAGUAGGUUCAAGAUUAAGAGGAGGUGAGUGAUACGUGUGGCUCAGACAUAAAAUGUAAUGCCCACCAAAAAACUCAGUCAUCAAUCUAAGUAAUAUUUACUGAAAUGAUUUUUAAAAUCACAGUAUGAGAAACCCGUGAAGAACAAAAUAUCAAACUUGUAAAUAAAGACAGGAUCCGGCAGGGCCAGUGUGGUGGUGAGGCAAGUGAGGCUAAGUUAUGUAAAUGAAGGGUUGGACCCUAUCUUAAUUUUAAACUGCUGAAAUUUUAUUUAUCAUGGGCUUUUUUGGCAUUUUGAUUGUUAAAAUAAUUCAUUAUAUUGUUUAUCUUGAUUACUGCAUUUUGGCAUCCCCAUAAAUUUUGUGCCUGAG
This is a long non-coding RNA of Homo sapiens (human), 2565 nucleotides long. The record is from Ensembl. Lineage: Eukaryota; Metazoa; Chordata; Mammalia; Primates; Hominidae.